ACUAUGAUAGAUACAUAUAUAAUUUUCUAAAACAUUAAAUUACCUUAUAAUGCUUACAUUUCAUAAAAUUUCUAAAAUAUGAACAUGUCUAUUUCUACAAAUAUGUUUCUAAAAUAUUUGCAUAUUUGAUGUUUACAUAAAUCUAAAUUGAUAUCACAUGUACUUUGCUUCAAUAUAUCAUAUUUUUAGGACAUUGUUCAAUUGACCCAUCCUUUUGCUAAAUCAAUCCAUCUAAACAAGAAUCACACAUUUGGGAUUUAACAUCUUCUUGUAAAUCAAGCAAAGUUAUGAAAGUAGAGCCCACAAAGCACCUCUAUCACAGCUAACUACCAAAGCCUACUCACAAAACAAUGAAACUGGACACACAUUCCUCCAAUCUAUCCUAUUAUACACCCUCCACCC
Molecule: long non-coding RNA, 402 nt
Filed under: Physcomitrium patens
Lineage: Eukaryota; Viridiplantae; Streptophyta; Bryopsida; Funariales; Funariaceae
Description: long non-coding RNA (PPAT_LNC002531)
Source: RNAcentral